AAUGGUAUAGCUCAUUGGUAGAGCAUUAGGCUAGCAUGCAUGAGGCCCUGAGUUCAAUCCCCAGCAUCAUUA
RNAcentral lists this transfer RNA (72 nucleotides) under Heterocephalus glaber (naked mole-rat). It matches the Rfam family "tRNA". From Rfam's summary of the family: Transfer RNA (tRNA) molecules are approximately 80 nucleotides in length. Their secondary structure includes four short double-helical elements and three loops (D, anti-codon, and T loops). The record is from Rfam by way of RNAcentral. Lineage: Eukaryota; Metazoa; Chordata; Mammalia; Rodentia; Bathyergidae.